RNAcentral lists this ribosomal RNA (774 nucleotides) under uncultured bacterium. Its description in RNAcentral is "bacterial SSU rRNA". It matches the Rfam family "Bacterial small subunit ribosomal RNA", at positions 1 to 768 of the family's 1533-position model. The record is from RNAcentral.
UACAGUUUGAUCCUGGCUCAGAUUGAACGCUGGCGGCAUGCCUAACACAUGCAAGUCGAGCGGCAGCAUGACGUGUAGCAAUACACGUUGAUGGCGAGCGGCGGACGGGUGAGUAAUGCAUAGGAAUCUGCCCAGUAGCGGGGGACAACCCGGAGAAAUCCGGGCUAAUACCGCAUACGCCCUACGGGGGAAAGCGGAGGACCGAAAGGCUUCGCACUAUUGGAGGAACCUAUGUCCGAUUAGCUAGUUGGUGAGGUAACGGCUCACCAAGGCGACGAUCGGUAGCUGGUCUGAGAGGACGAUCAGCCACACCGGAACUGAGACACGGUCCGGACUCCUACGGGAGGCAGCAGUGGGGAAUAUUGGACAAUGGGGGCAACCCUGAUCCAGCAAUGCCGCGUGGGUGAAGAAGGCCUGCGGGUUGUAAAGCCCUUCCGGUGAGGACAAAACGCGCCACGUUAAUACCGUGGUGUUUUGAUUUAACUCACUAAAGAAGCACCGGCUAACUCUGUGCCAGCAGCCGCGGUAAUACAGAGGGUGCAAGCGUUAAUCGGAAUUACUGGGCGUAAAGCGCACGUAGGCGGCUUGGUAAGUUGGAUGUGAAAUCCCCGGGCUUAACUUGGGAAUUGCAUUCAAGACUGCCUUGCUAGAGUGUGGGAGAGGAAAGCGGAAUUCCAGGUGUAGCGGUGAAAUGCGUAGAUAUCUGGAGGAACAUCAGUGGCGAAGGCGGCUUUCUGGCCCAACACUGACGCUGAGGUGCGAAAGCGUGGGGAG